AGCAGAGGACUGAAAAUCCUCGUGUC
Molecule: transfer RNA, 26 nt
Filed under: Forsstroemia japonica
Lineage: Eukaryota; Viridiplantae; Streptophyta; Bryopsida; Hypnales; Leptodontaceae
Also listed under: 5 other names
Description: partial tRNA-Phe
Source: RNAcentral